Molecule: unclassified non-coding RNA, 247 nt
Filed under: Hevea brasiliensis (rubber tree)
Lineage: Eukaryota; Viridiplantae; Streptophyta; Magnoliopsida; Malpighiales; Euphorbiaceae
Source: RNAcentral
GAAAAUGUUGAGAGGAACGAGAUUGAGUCGAAACAGCUGAAGGAAGAAGCUUAUGAUCCGCAUGAUGCUGCACCUUAUUUUCUUCCGGUGAGUAAAGACUCUUCUCAGUCUUCUUUAGAUGCAAGCCAAUCUGGUUGUUUUGUGUAGACUCCUGCAAAUUUUCACCAUUAGUGAUUAGCCAGUCUGGGUAAGAUUGAUAGCAGAAGUUUGAUUGUUUGUCAAGAUUAGCUGUCGGUUGAUCAGUUUU